This 494-nucleotide ribosomal RNA is filed under the name uncultured bacterium. Its description in RNAcentral is "partial 16S ribosomal RNA". It matches the Rfam family "Bacterial small subunit ribosomal RNA", at positions 28 to 507 of the family's 1533-position model. The record is from RNAcentral.
GACGAACGCUGGCGGCGUGCUUAACACAUGCAAGUCGAACGGUGAAGCGCCUUCCUUUUUGGUGGGUGUGGAUGAGUGGCGAACGGGUGAGUAACACGUGAGUAACCUGCCCCCUUCUUCUGGAUAACCGCAUGAAAGUGUGGCUAAUACGGGAUAUUCUGGGUCUGUCGCAUGAUGGGUCUGGGAAAGAUAUUGUUUCGGUGGGGGAUGGGCUCGCGGUCUAUCAGCUUGUUGGUGGGGUGAUGGCCUACCAAGGCGGUGACGGGUAGCCGGCCUGAGAGGAUGGGCGGUCACGCUGGUACGGAGCGGCGGCGCAGACUCCGACGGGAGGCAGCAGGGGGGAAUAUGGCACGAGGGGAGGAAGGCUGAUGCAGCGACGCCGGGGGAGGGAUGGAGUCCUGCGGGUUGAGAACCUCUAUCGCCAAUGAAGCAGGCCUGCCUCGUGUGUGGGUGGGUUGACGGUAGCUGGAGAAGAAGCGCCGGCUAACUACGUG